Molecule: ribosomal RNA, 680 nt
Filed under: Vibrio parahaemolyticus
Lineage: Bacteria; Pseudomonadati; Pseudomonadota; Gammaproteobacteria; Vibrionales; Vibrionaceae
Also listed under: 1 other name
Description: partial 23S ribosomal RNA
Rfam family: Bacterial large subunit ribosomal RNA
Source: RNAcentral
ACAGUGCCUGGUGGGUAGUUUGACUGGGGCGGUCUCCUCCCAAAGAGUAACGGAGGAGCACGAAGGUGGGCUAAUCACGGUUGGACAUCGUGAGGUUAGUGCAAUGGCAUAAGCCCGCUUGACUGCGAGAAUGACAAUUCGAGCAGGUGCGAAAGCAGGUCAUAGUGAUCCGGUGGUUCUGAAUGGAAGGGCCAUCGCUCAACGGAUAAAAGGUACUCCGGGGAUAACAGGCUGAUACCGCCCAAGAGUUCAUAUCGACGGCGGUGUUUGGCACCUCGAUGUCGGCUCAUCACAUCCUGGGGCUGAAGUCGGUCCCAAGGGUAUGGCUGUUCGCCAUUUAAAGUGGUACGCGAGCUGGGUUUAGAACGUCGUGAGACAGUUCGGUCCCUAUCUGCCGUGGGCGUUGGAAGAUUGAAGGGGGCUGCUCCUAGUACGAGAGGACCGGAGUGGACGAACCUCUGGUGUUCGGGUUGUGUCGCCAGACGCAUUGCCCGGUAGCUAAGUUCGGAAUCGAUAACCGCUGAAAGCAUCUAAGCGGGAAGCGAGCCCUGAGAUGAGUCUUCCCUGAUACUUUAAGUAUCCUAAAGGGUUGUCGGAGACUACGACGUUGAUAGGUCAGGUGUGUAAGUGCUGUGAGGCAUUGAGCUAACUGAUACUAAUUGCCCGUGAGGCUUAACCAU